ACACGCCAAACAGGUUGGGGGAGGAAGAGAGCUCCUUAACCCUCACUCAAAUUUCACCUCUCAAUAACUUUUGAUCCGGAGCUCUGAUUGACGAGCCGUUUGCGACUACACGUUCACUGCGACGAGCUCUACAAAACCCAUGGAACAAUUUGGUUCGAUUUAGCCUGCGAAACUUAUCGGGCUUGAGUUGCUACGCGAGUGGGUAUGGUGUGAAUUAAGUUUAUAUAUAAGCAUUGGAAUUGAAAAGUGAGUAUUUGGAGGCUUGUUGGUGAUUAAAGCUAAGAUUGUGGCUGAGUUCCUUGAACAUGAGGGGCUGUUUUAUAGCUUGGAAGGUUGCCUUGGAGUGAAUAAAGUGAUUGGCCAAGAAACCCUUACUUGGUUGAAACACUAAGUCGUGACGCUGUUGCUCCUGGAUGGCCUGUGCGACGAUCUCCGAUCCUCUUGCGUUCUCCGACGAUCUUCUUCGGUAACAUCUCCUCCAGUAUCGACCUCCUUCGGCGACAUCUUCUACAGCGGCGAUUUCCUCCGAUGACGUCUCCUCCAGGUUCCUCUCCUUGUCGUCCUCUGUGUCUUCUCCGCCAAAAUCGUCAACGCCUUCCUCUUCAACGAUCCAGGUCAGCUUCAUUUCCUUCUUUCUUUCCUUCCUUUCCUCUCAUUUCCUUCCUUUGUGAUGAGUAUCUCUUUUUAAGCCGUUUGCGAGGAUUCAUCGCGAGUGGAGAAGUCAGUUCCGCAGGUUGCACCGCCGACAACGUUCCUCCGUAAUUUGUGUUCGACCGCUCUGGCUGCGAUGCCAUCGCCGACGUUCCUCCACUCCUCUUCUUCAUGCCUUUGCCACCGUUCUUUGCUCUUCCAAAGCACUUCAUCAAGCACCGAGCCUCUCGAUGAAGAUACAAAGAACCUAGAUUGUGAGUUUGCAGUUUCAUUCGGACUAAUUCAUUGUGGUUUCCUGCUUUGGAAUCUUUGCAUGGAGUUUUGAUUGAGUUUCGAGAUUCUAAAUAUGCUAGCAUUGAUGGGAUCAUGUUUCCACUGUUUCUCUAGAUAGUUGAAUUUUAAGUUGAAGGCUUGCUAUUCAAAGGCUUGAGAUUGCAAAAAGUGAUUUGCAGCACAGAAUUGCAAAGGAGGCUAGAGGCAAUGCUUUUAUAAGCAAGCUUAGAAAGAAGGAAGCAAGCUCUGCACGAGUAGCGAUUGGCACUUGAACAAGAUGUUUCAAGAUUGCAAGAACAAUUGCAAGCUGAGAGGGAUCUUAGAGCGGCAUUGGAAGUUGGAUUGAACAAAGGCCGAGCUGGAGGAGAUUACACUUGCUGAAGCUGAUAUUGCCAGGUUGAAGUAGAAAGUUGCGGAACUUCACCAUCAACUUAACCAGCAGCGACAUCAUCACUAUGGUUCACUUAAUGAUGUGGGUGAUCGAUACCAACAUGCCCAAAACCAUCCUCAGCAGAGAUUUCUUCAGCAAGAUUUUGAUUCAACUCUUGUCUUUUGUAAUCAUGAAAGGAAACAAAGGGCUGAGGAGGGCUUGUUGGGCACAGAUUGGAGAAAUCUCAAAGGACAAGUAUUGGCAACUGGUAAUGGCAGUCGACAACCUACUCGAAAGCAAUUUAUGGACUCAAUUCCUAGUGAUUCAAAAAGUACUGAGUCAUUGACAAGCAUGUCUGUUGAUGAGCUUGGUGUCGUUGACUCUAUUGCUAUGCCCUCCACCUCAAGGGCUGCAGAGGAAUCUUGCUCACAAUCAGUUCCAGAAAAGAUUGAACGUUAACUUCAUGAAGCUUUCUACCCUCUCUUCAUUGGAUCUCUCCUUCAAUUUAUUGACAAGUGACCUUCCGCAGACUUUUAGCUCACUUUCAGGCAUUACCAGCAUGUAUCUGCAGAACAACCAGUUUACAGGCACUAUUGAUGUCCUUGCUAAUCUGCCUCAUUGUGAUAUCAUUGGUUUGUAAGAAAUGAGUUUGGAUAAUAAAGUUGGAGUGUUGGAGCAAGAAACAAAGAUGUUGGAGCAAGUCCCCAAGAUGAAACUCACACAAGAGACCAAGAAACUAAGGCAGGCUUGUUUUAAAGUUAAUUACAAAAGGAGAAAAUUUUUGGCCUCCAAAUCUUAUUCAUCAUCACUUAGCUAAACUACUUGUCUUGUAUAUUCAUAUUCUAAGUAGUAAAAAUAGCACUUAUUAGAUGGUUUAAAUACAUUAUUAGAUAUUAACAUAGUUUAGGGAAUUGGAUGGUAGAUUUGACUGAUUAGUGUUUAUUGCAAUGCUUGUAUUUUGGUAAGUUUAGUAAGACAAAGUUUUGUAUAGGAGUUAUUACUUUUGAUUUUCAAUAAUAAAAAAUUAUAUAUUAUAUUAA
This is a long non-coding RNA of Arachis stenosperma, 2334 nucleotides long. RefSeq lists it as uncharacterized. The record is from RefSeq and is a predicted model, not a curated record. The transcript is spliced from 14 exons. NCBI's taxonomy places the organism in Eukaryota, Viridiplantae, Streptophyta, Magnoliopsida, Fabales, Fabaceae.